RNAcentral lists this ribosomal RNA (460 nucleotides) under uncultured bacterium. Its description in RNAcentral is "partial 16S ribosomal RNA". It matches the Rfam family "Bacterial small subunit ribosomal RNA", at positions 338 to 795 of the family's 1533-position model. The record is from RNAcentral.
CCUACGGGUGGCAGCAGUGAGGAAUAUUGGUCAAUGGGCGGGAGCCUGAACCAGCCAAGUCGCGUGAGGGAAGACGGUCCUACGGAUUGUAAACCUCUUUUGCCGGGGAGCAACGGGGUCCUUGCGAGGGCCCAAUGAGAGUACCCGGAGAAAAAGCAUCGGCUAACUCCGUGCCAGCAGCCGCGGUAAUACGGAGGAUGCGAGCGUUAUCCGGAUUUAUUGGGUUUAAAGGGUGCGCAGGCGGAGGUGCAAGUCAGCGGUCAAAUUGCGGGGCUCAACCCCGUACUGCCGUUGAAACUGCAUCCCUUGAGUGUGCGAGAAGUAUGCGGAAUGCGUGGUGUAGCGGUGAAAUGCAUAGAUAUCACGCAGAACUCCGAUUGCGAAGGCAGCAUACCGGCGCGCAACUGACGCUCAUGCACGAAAGCGUGGGUAUCGAACAGGAUUAGAUACCCUUGUAGUC